AUUACUGGGCGUAAAGCGCGCGUAGGUGGUUCAGCAAGUUGGAUGUGAAAUCCCCGGGCUCAACCUGGGAACUGCAUCCAAAACUACUGAGCUAGAGUACGGUAGAGGGUGGUGGAAUUUCCUGUGUAGCGGUGAAAUGCGUAGAUAUAGGAAGGAACACCAGUGGCGAAGGCGACCACCUGGACUGAUACUGACACUGA
Molecule: ribosomal RNA, 200 nt
Filed under: Escherichia coli
Lineage: Bacteria; Pseudomonadati; Pseudomonadota; Gammaproteobacteria; Enterobacterales; Enterobacteriaceae
Description: partial 16S ribosomal RNA
Rfam family: Bacterial small subunit ribosomal RNA
Source: RNAcentral